AUACGGAGGGUGCAAGCGUUAUCCGGAUUCAUUGGGUUUAAAGGGUACGUAGGCGGAUAGAUAAGUUAGUGGUGAAAUCCCGAAGCUCAACUUCGGAACUGCCAUUAAAACUGUCUAUCUUGAAUUUGGUUGAAGUGGGCGGAAUAUGACAUGUAGCGGUGAAAUGCAUAGAUAUGUCAUGGAACACCGAUAGUGAAGACAGCUCACUAAGCCAAUAUUGACGCUGAGGUACGAAAGCAUGGGUAGCGAACAGGAUUAGAAACCCCAGUAGUCC
RNAcentral lists this ribosomal RNA (274 nucleotides) under uncultured bacterium. RNAcentral's name for it is "partial 16S ribosomal RNA". It matches the Rfam family "Bacterial small subunit ribosomal RNA", at positions 523 to 796 of the family's 1533-position model. The record is from RNAcentral.